RNAcentral lists this ribosomal RNA (1086 nucleotides) under Triticum aestivum (bread wheat). Its description in RNAcentral is "partial small subunit ribosomal RNA". Lineage: Eukaryota; Viridiplantae; Streptophyta; Magnoliopsida; Poales; Poaceae. The record is from RNAcentral.
AUGAACCAGCCGAAUCAAUCUUCUUCCAGUAACUCUCCUGAUGGAGAACGAAGAGCUUGGUCAGCUAUUUGGUCUUGUAAUGCUCCACCAAAGACCCGCAUUUUUGCUUGGCGUGCUGCAAACAACUCACUUCCGACUUGGGAUCUGAAGCAUGCUAGGAAGCUGGAGGUUGUGGAUUUAUGUCCAGUUUGUGGCACUGAAAAAGAAGACACGUUUCAUGCUUUGUGUCGAUGUCCCAAUGCCAGGAAUCUUUGGCUUGCAAUGGCUGAUAUUUGGCCUAUCCCCGAUCUUAAAGACAUGAUGAACACAGGCCCGGAAUGGCUUCUCCAUGCCAUGUGCAAAUUGCCUGAUGAGCAGCGCCUGCACCUGGUUAUGCUCUUAUGGAGAAUUUGGUACGUUCGAAAUGAGGUAGUACAUGAUAAACCAGCACCGCCAGUUCAGAUUUCUGUACGCUUUCUUAGAAGCUAUGUUCAGUCCAUUUUGACAAUCACCAAAGAGCCAGAGAUAGACCCCUUGAAGGGGAAAUCUGCUAUGCUAGAUUGUUCUUUUUCUGUUGCACCUGCGGCUACGUCUGAACUGGUAAUUCCACCAGCUGUGUGGCUGAGCCCUGAAGAAGGACGAUUGAAACUCAAUACAGAUGGCUCCUUUGUUUCAGCGGACGGUACUGCUGGCAGCGGCAUGAUCUUGCGUGAUCACAACGGUAAUAUAGUCCUCAGUGCUUGUCGUCAUCUGUAUCAUUGCCUCAAUGCUUUAGAGUCUGAACUUGCAGCCAUCAGAGAGGGUCUGUCACUUGCUUUACAAUGGAGCGAGCUACCUAUAGACAUUGAGUCUGAUUGCUUGGAGGCUAUCAAUCUGUUGAAGAAGGGAGAAAUGGAUAGAUCUGCGAACAGUUUCAUGGUUCAUGAAAUCAAAAUACUCAUGGAUCAACGAAAUUCUUGUAUUACUCACAUUUAUCAUAGUCAAAACACUGUAAGCCAUUUGUUGGCAUCUUUUGAUAGAACUACGGGUCGUACCAUGGUGUGGCUCGGAUCUGGACCUGAUGAGGUCGUCAAACUGUGUAAUUCUGCUAGUAGCCCGGCUACGUGA